UACGUAGGUGGCAAGCGUUGUCCGGAUUUAUUGGGUUUAAAGGGUGCGUAGGCGGUCUAUUAAGUCAGUGGUGAAAUACUCCAGCUUAACUGGAGGGGUGCCAUUGAUACUGAUGGACUUGAGUCAAGUCGAGGUAGGCGGAAUUGACGGUGUAGCGGUGAAAUGCGUAGAUAUCUGGAGGAACACCGGUGGCGAAGGCGGCAUCCUGGACCGAGAUUGACGCUGAGGCGCGAAAGCUAGGGUAGCAAACAGG
Molecule: ribosomal RNA, 253 nt
Filed under: uncultured bacterium
Lineage: Bacteria
Description: partial 16S ribosomal RNA
Rfam family: Bacterial small subunit ribosomal RNA
Source: RNAcentral